GAUGAAGAACGCAGUGAAAUGCGAUAAGUAGUGUGAAUUGCAGAAUUCAGUGAAUCAUCGAAUCUUUGAACGCACAUUGCGCCCCUUGGUAUUCCAUGGGGCAUGCCUGUUCGAGCGUCAUUUCAACCCUCAAGCCCCCGGGUUUGGUGUUGGGGAUCGGCUCUGCCCUUCUGGGCGGUGCCGCCCCCGAAAUACAUUGGCGGUCUCGCUGCAGCCUCCAUUGCGUAGUAGCUAACACCUCGCAACUGGAACGCGGCGCGGCCAUGCCGUAAAACCCCAACUUCUGAAUGUUGACCUCGGAUCAGGUAGGAAUACCCGCUGAACUUAAGCAUAUCAAUAAGCGGAGGA
This 348-nucleotide unclassified non-coding RNA is filed under the name soil metagenome. RNAcentral's name for it is "partial contains 5.8S ribosomal RNA, internal transcribed spacer 2, and large subunit ribosomal RNA". The stretch from base 1 to 120 matches the Rfam family "5.8S ribosomal RNA", at positions 35 to 154 of the family's 154-position model. The record is from RNAcentral.